Molecule: ribosomal RNA, 253 nt
Filed under: uncultured bacterium
Lineage: Bacteria
Description: partial 16S ribosomal RNA
Rfam family: Bacterial small subunit ribosomal RNA
Source: RNAcentral
GACAGAGGUCCCGAGCGUUAGGCGGAAUCACUGGGCUUAGAGCGUGUGUAGGCGGAGUGCUAAGUACCUUGUGAAAUCCCACGGCUCAACCGUGGAACUGCUUGGUAUACUGGUUCUCUUGAGCCACCUAGGGGCAACCGGAACAAACGGUGGAGCGGUGAAAUGCGUAGAUAUCGUUUGGAACGCCAAUGGUGAAAACAGGUUGCUGGGGGUGUGCUGACGCUGAGACACGAAAGCCAGGGGAGCAAACGGG